Molecule: ribosomal RNA, 493 nt
Filed under: uncultured bacterium
Lineage: Bacteria
Description: partial 16S ribosomal RNA
Rfam family: Bacterial small subunit ribosomal RNA
Source: RNAcentral
AUUGAACGCUGGCGGCAUGCUUUACACAUGCAAGUCGAACGGUAACAGGUUAAGCUGACGAGUGGCGAACGGGUGAGUAAUGCAUCGGAACGUGCCCGAUCGUGGGGGAUAACGCAGCGAAAGCUGCGCUAAUACCGCAUACGAUCUGAGGAUGAAAGCGGGGGACCGUAAGGCCUCGCGCGAUCGGAACGGCCGAUGUCAGAUUAGGUAGUUGGUGGGGUAAAGGCCCACCAAGCCGACGAUUUGUAGCUGGUCUGAGAGGACGACCAGCCACACUGGGACUGAGACACGGCCCAGACUCCUACGGGAGGCAGCAGUGGGGAAUUUUGGACAAUGGGCGAAAGCCUGAUCCAGCAAUGCCGCGUGCAGGAAGAAGGCCUUCGGGUUGUAAACUGCUUUUGUACGGAGCGAAAAGGUCCUUUCUAAUACAAGGGGCUCAUGACGGUACCGUAAGAAUAAGCACCGGCUAACUACGUGCCAGCAGCCGCGGUAA